RNAcentral lists this ribosomal RNA (239 nucleotides) under uncultured bacterium. RNAcentral describes it as "partial 16S ribosomal RNA". It matches the Rfam family "Bacterial small subunit ribosomal RNA", at positions 15 to 236 of the family's 1533-position model. The record is from RNAcentral.
GAUCCUGGCUCAGGAUGAACGCUGGCGGCGUGCUUAACACAUGCAAGUCGAACGAGGAUUUAACGGAAUGCGAUUCGUCAAAUGAAAUUAAAUCCGAGUGGCGGACGGGUGAGUAACGCGUGGAUAACCUGCCUCGCACAGGGGGACAACAGUUGGAAACGACCGCUAAUACCGCAUAACACAAGUAAUUCGCAUGAAUAACUUGCCAAAGAUUAUAUCGGUGUGAGAUGGAUCCGCGU